This is a long non-coding RNA of Stomoxys calcitrans (stable fly), 2273 nucleotides long. RefSeq lists it as uncharacterized. Lineage: Eukaryota; Metazoa; Arthropoda; Insecta; Diptera; Muscidae. The record is from RefSeq and is a predicted model, not a curated record. The transcript has 5 exons.
AAAAAAAUUUUCAGCGAUAGUUUUCCCCUCCUAAUACUGGCAAAUUUUGUGAGGAACUAUGCCAUGUAAAAACUUCUCUCCCAAGAGGUGUCGCACUGCGGCAGCGGUGGUUUUGCCCUCCUAAUGCUGGCAAAAUUUGUGAAGAACUAUGCCAUAUAAAAACUUCUCUCCAAAUAGGUGUCGCACUGCGGCACGUCGUUCGGGCUCGGCUGUGAAAAGAAGGUCCUUUUCAUUGAACUUAAAACUUGAAUCGGACUGCACUCAUUGAUAAGUGAGAAGUUUGCCCCUGUUCCUCAGUGGAAUGUUCAUGGGCAAAAUUUGCAAUUUACAGCUAGUUAUACUAAUUUAAAUUACCAAAAAUUGUCUCGACACGGGUUAACUAUGAGCAUCACGCAGGCUGAAAUUUUGAGCUCCAAUCUGUGUGGUGCUCUUCGUUAUCACGAGAAGCUUAGCUGGGAGCUACCGGGCGCGUUCCGAGGUUGAGGAUAGUGGAAUGCUCCAUACGGAGUUGCUGCAACUACAGUCGCGGACAAUCAGCAGGCCGGGUGAUCCCGGCUGUUGCGAUUUCCAUAUGGUAAAAUCAGUAACAGAACAAUCUGUGCCAAAUUUUGUGCUGAUCGGUUGAUCGGUCGAGUGGAGAGUCAGUGAGAGGCCGGGUAGUCCCAGGUCGUUUAAAAAUUGUUGCUACUAUGGCCAUAUAAGUGGAAAUCCGGCGAUAAAUAAUUAUGGACGCAAUAUCCAAAUUUGAACCGAUUUUGAUGAAAUCUCGCAGAUCUCGCCACAUUGUCCACUAUAUACACACUGGAGAUAAAUGAUAAGCUGGAUGUGAGAGUCGAUGGAGUAAAGAUUUUAACCAACAAGUGACCCAUAAUACUUGGUGUCAUAUUUAACAUCUCUUUCAUAAUCUCUUCACCAAGGCCGCAAAGCAACGUUACCAUUGGAAACCAUUUAUUGAAAGUUUUUAAAAAGGAGACACAACAGAUUUGUUCCAAUAAAAAAAUUUGCAGGAGAAUAAGAACAGCAUUUACACUUCUGCUAUUUAUUUUAAUUAAACGCUGGUUUUCAUAAAACAAAAAACGUCAAAUACUUGUAUGAAAUGCAUAAAAGGCAUAUCGUUGUUUUCGAUUUAUUGUUGUUGCUAUAGUUCCUUUUUUCAUAAUUUUUAAUUUGAUAAACAAGUUUUUAUUUUAAACCUAUAAUCGGAUAUUCACAAAUGCCGCCAAUAACUAUUAGUGAGAAAGAAUAACAGUAAAAAGAUCGUUUAAAAAUUGUUGCUACUAUGGCCAUAUAAGUGGAAAUCCGGCGAUAAAUAUGUAUGCCACAUCCAAAUUUGAACCGAUUUUGAUGAAAUCUCGCAGAUAUAUUAAGAUCAGUAACAAAAUAAUCCGUGCCAAAUUUUGUGCACAUCGGUUACAAAUUGUGUUUAUUACAACCUUAUAAGAGUAAAUCGGGCGAAAUAUAUAUAUGGGAGCUAUAUCCAAAUCUGAGCCGAUUUUGAGGUAAAACAAAUUUAUUGUGAAAAAUGUUUCGUUGAAAUAGCGUUAUGCAGAAAAAUUGCUGUUGUUAACUAACGCAACAAACUAGAUGACAUUGUAAAAUGUAAAAGUGAUUUUAUUGACUUGGGUACUGAGGAUGGAAGGCAAUACAUGUGAAUCUAUAUUUCAUGAUAUUGCACGCAAAAUGCUAAAAUUGGUAUUUAUAACUGACGGAAAUAUACCAAAAGCUCCGUUCCAAGUUGUCCCAAAAGGUUAGAGAAAAUUCAAUAUUGCGAUUUCAGAGAAAAACAGUUUUUUUGAUUCAUUUACUUUGUGAUAAUGACAUAAAAACAAAUUGUUAUCGAUAUCAUUAAUCAUGAGAUGUUUUGCAUACAAUUAAUGAACAGUGAUGUCCAUUAUCAAGAAUUUACUAUGUGUGUCAUAGGUUUGCGUUUACCACCAUGUUUACCUUCAAAAGACUUCAUUGCUGGAGCUUCUUCAUCCAUUCUGACAACAUGCCCCAGCCAACGCAGCCGUUGUAUUUUUUAAAUAUACGGUGUCGCAGAAAACGAAGAGAGACUCAAAAUGGAAUCGACAAUUCGUUUUUUUAGAACCAUGGGACCAUUAAGAAAAAAUAUAAACAUUUUAAGCAAUAUAUUUCAUGUUUUAUUCGCAAUUAAAUCCAAUGAAAAAUAUUUCUGUGAAAAAUAUCAACUAUUUAUUUUUAUUAAAACAGUAAAAACAUUAUUUAAAAGUUAUGGUAAAUUUGAAAUAAAUAGUUCUCUGAGUUAAUAACAA